Molecule: small nuclear RNA, 98 nt
Organism: Cucurbita moschata (crookneck pumpkin)
Lineage: Eukaryota; Viridiplantae; Streptophyta; Magnoliopsida; Cucurbitales; Cucurbitaceae
Source: RefSeq, a predicted model, not a curated record
GUCAGGGACAUCCGAUAAAUUUAGAACAAUACAGAGAAGAUUAGCAUGACUCCUGUGCAAGAAUCACACGCACAAAUAGAGAAAUGGUAUGAGAGCUA